Long non-coding RNA from Zalophus californianus (California sea lion), 1008 nucleotides. RefSeq lists it as uncharacterized. The transcript is spliced from 4 exons. NCBI's taxonomy places the organism in Eukaryota, Metazoa, Chordata, Mammalia, Carnivora, Otariidae. The record is from RefSeq and is a predicted model, not a curated record.
CCUCUCCUGGGGACAGAAAGCUAUGCCCCCAGCCCCCAAUCCUGGUGUCACGACCUGUGAAUUGAAGAACUCACUGUCAGGAAACAGGCAAGGAGAAGAGCAAAAGGAAGAGCCGGAGCCCAGAAUCUCCUAGGUCCUUCCACCUUCCUGCCUGAGCCCCAUCCUGAGGCUGUCCUGCCCGUGACUGACAAGGACCCGGGUUCUUACUCUGUCCCAGGAGCUCAGCUCUCAGGAGGAAGGCGUCUCUGCCCCCUUGGUCUGCAAUUAUACCCGCCGUGGCACAUCUGUCCCAUCGUGUCGCUGAAGAAGGACAACCAGAGAGGUGGCAGCUUGUCCCAAGGAACCCUGCAAGUUAAGGAUGAGGUGGGGUCCGCUCCGCCCUAAGCCGGAGUCUGCAGAGGCGCUCCCAAAACAAAACACCACAAACCAGGCGGCUGGAGCAACAUGAGUUUCUUCUUCACGGUCCCGGAGGCUGAAGCCCGAGAUCCAGGCGUGGCAGGGCUGGUUCCUUCCAGGACCCCUCUCCUGGGCUUCCCACCGCAGUCCACAAAGAUGCAGCUCAGACUCCUGCUCCAAGACAGCACCCAGGAUGCCAACAAGCCUCAGUACCUGAGAAAGGCUCCUGCCCCCCAACAUGGAGCUCUGAGCAGAUCCACAUGCCUAAAUCGGCUUGAGAGCAAAGUGGCAAAAGAGAAAUAAGGAAAAGAUACCAGCAAUCCCCACUCUUUUCAGCAAAAAGGGCCCCUUGCCCUCUUCUUCUGGUCAGAGAGACGGCGUGGAAGCCAGCUUCCAGGAUGCCUCCUGAUUAUCUUACCUCCCCGCCUUCACACCCCCGUGUCAUCCCCUAUCUUGCCUUGUACCCAGAUUGGCCUGUAUAACCAGCAGAACAUGCCAGGAUCCAUUACUAAAGACACCACAGUUUGGGACGCCUGAGCGGUUCAGUCAGUUAAGCGUCUGCCUUCAGCUCAGGUCAUGAUCCUGGGAUCCUGGGAUCGAGGCCCACGUCAG